UACGUAGGGUGCGAGCAUUAAUCGGAAUUACUGGGCGUAAAGCGUGCGCAGGCGGUUUGUUAAGUCUGAUGUGAAAGCCCCGGGCUCAACCUGGGAACUGCAUUGGAAACUGGCAAGCUCGAGUAUGGCAGAGGGGGGUGGAAUUCCGCGUGUAGCAGUGAAAUGCGUAGAGAUGCGGAGGAACACCGAUGGCGAAGGCAGCCCCCUGGGCCAAUACUGACGCUCAGGCACGAAAGCGUGGGGAGCAAACAGG
Molecule: ribosomal RNA, 253 nt
Filed under: uncultured bacterium
Lineage: Bacteria
Description: partial 16S ribosomal RNA
Rfam family: Bacterial small subunit ribosomal RNA
Source: RNAcentral